AGUAACACGUGGAUAACCUACCUAUAAGACUGGGAUAACUUCGGGAAACCGGAGCUAAUACCGGAUAAUAUUUUGAACCGCAUGGUUCAAAAGUAAAAGACGGUCUUGCUGUCACUUAUAGAUGGAUCCGCGCUGCAUUAGCUAGUUGGUAAGGUAACGGCUUGCCAAGGCAACGAUGCAUAGCCGACCUGAGAGGGUGAUCGGCCACACUGGAACUGAGACACGGUCCAG
This 231-nucleotide ribosomal RNA is filed under the name uncultured Staphylococcus sp. Its description in RNAcentral is "partial 16S ribosomal RNA". It matches the Rfam family "Bacterial small subunit ribosomal RNA", at positions 109 to 334 of the family's 1533-position model. Lineage: Bacteria; Bacillati; Bacillota; Bacilli; Caryophanales; Staphylococcaceae. The record is from RNAcentral.